UACAGCGGCAGUGUACUGCGGGGCGGAGACGAUGUUCUGACCAACCUACGUAGUGAAUUACUACGACGUGGUAGAAGAGAAGAGUAUGAAAGUUCUCGAAAAUGGGACCGACCCUCUUACUUUGGGCACCUACGACAACAUCGUUGUCACAGAAGAAACGGUCUACUUCAACACCUAUGUUAACCCUGUCAUAACGGUAGACUUCUAAGCCAAAGACUCUCCUCCUCUUUUGACUUUAAGGAACUCUACGUCCUUCUUGAAUAGUUCCUCCUUCUCUUCUUCUUUCUCUUUCUCCUCUUCCGUUUUGUUUUCUUCCUUCUUUUCCGUUUAGAGUGUCUUGUCCUCCGACCACUUCUUCUAAACCGAAAUUUCCUUUACUGACCCGGAUGACGAUCCGUUCUUCUUCUUUAUUAUAAUCGUUUUGUUGUACUGGUCCUCGUCGAGACAUUAUAGUCAGCUUGUAACCGACACGACCGUAGACGUAGCAGACAAUCGUUCCUCGCAGUUCUCAAGGACUCGGAACAGUUGUUCCUCUUUUCCUCUAACUACUAUACCUACGUGUUAAACCUUUGCCGACCGUUGACGAAACUAUCCCAGUCGGAUCACUUCCUACUACAAUCGUAUGGAGUUGGCACCCUAGUGAACGACUACGACUCCACACCUACGUCUAGAUGAAGCUGGAGCCCCUCUACCGGCGGCAGCACGCACCAGGAGCCCGUCCCGCACCGCCGGGACCGGCGCGGGUCCCCCCCCGCCUCCCCGUCUCGACUCCUCGUCCUCCGGUAGGGCGUCCAGGUCCUAGCCCAGCGAGGGGAGGUAGUAGUCACCAGAAAUACCGCGCUGCCCUUGGUCUUGUGGUAGUUCGACCAGCUGUCGCUACUUAACUUCCGAAUGGCGUAUGAACUCGUCAGUCGCAUGUAACUAUCUGACCUUGAACUGUCGAAACGAUAUGGACUACCUGACGAACACGUCGGUCGAGUAUAGCAGUCCUACGAGAUACUAGAGCAACUGAUGAUGUUGUUAUACUACUGCUAGGCAGCUUUCAUGGAGUACUUCUUCGAACUACCCACAACCAGAUUCCUCUACCUGGUCUACGAGUUCUGUGUACUGUCCAUAGACCUUUCUCAGUUACUCUUCGAUCUGCGGUAACGUCUACGUUCUCCGCUAACGGGUGGGGCCGGUUUCCAGAAGCUACGGGUGGGGUUUGAGACGUUCACUAUAUGUGCGACAGAGACGUAUUCUUACUGCGACGAGAACACUUCAGAAUGAGACGGGCAGACGCUUACUUCAGUAACAAGGUAUGAGGUCUACGUGUCAAUCUUUGAGGUCUACGUGUCAAUCUUUGAGGUCUACGUGUCAAAGAACCGGCGUUUUGUGACUUCAGAGCGGACAAGAGAACAAGGACAUAUGUAACACAACUCUCUUGGGACGACUCGAAGACUUUACAAUAUUGACGUCAGAAUUAGCAUUGAUAUGCAAUAUGUAUCAACUUAGACGAGGUCUUAAGAACACCUAGAGAGAAGGUACUUCAGUAAAAUGUUCUAUACUAAAAAAACAAGAAGAAAGUUAACACUCAAAAAUGAGAAGUCAAACAGGGACAUUUGACAUCAAGGUACGGCGAACGUUCGUCUUAAAUAAAACGACCACGACCACUGUCCCAGUGAACCAUUCCAACUACGAACCAAAUACGG
This 1691-nucleotide ribosomal RNA is filed under the name Triticum aestivum (bread wheat). RNAcentral's name for it is "partial small subunit ribosomal RNA". The record is from RNAcentral. Lineage: Eukaryota; Viridiplantae; Streptophyta; Magnoliopsida; Poales; Poaceae.